Centrocercus urophasianus (Greater sage-grouse) is the source of this 2670-nucleotide long non-coding RNA. RefSeq lists it as uncharacterized. The record is from RefSeq and is a predicted model, not a curated record. The transcript has 4 exons. Lineage: Eukaryota; Metazoa; Chordata; Aves; Galliformes; Phasianidae.
GCCAUGGAUAGGGCCAUAGCAGAUCCAAGGUUGCAGAGAUUUUGUGUGUGUUGCUGCUGGACACCUGAAGGAAAUGGCAGAGGGAAAGGACUUUUCCAGGGGAUUAGUUGCUCUGUGUCCCAGCUGAAGGAAAAGAGGGAAGGAAGUCACCACACACUCCUGUUGCUUGAGGAGAUACUUGGCCAGUCCACCACCUCUGGAUUUCCACUGACCUCUUCUCCAGAAGGCGUAAAAAUAACAAUGUUGUUCUUUUGAGGGAGAAAUAUGAUAGAAGACUGAAAUAACCCUGUGGCACUUAACUGAAUAUUGCCCUGAUGGAAGCUAAGUGCUGGAUGGGACAAAUUUCUAGAGACGAGGCAAAGAAGAGAAACAAAUACUGAGAAGUAAAGGCUCACAUUCCUGACUGCUAAGGUAUCGGGGAACCUUGUGCUAGAGCAAGGAAGGCAGUGAAGCUUGAACUAAAGAUGUGAAGCGCUUUGCUGUGCCAUCUAUCUUCAUUGUCCUUUCUGGGAGCCACAGAAAUGGUACACACCCGAUCUGGCAACCGGAAACACCUAGCAACUGCAGCCUGAAUGAGGGCUUGAAAAAAUGCUCUGCCAUUUCAUUUAUCUUCUCUGUCCCUCCUGGCAACCAGAGAAACAGUGGCUGAAGGCACACCCCACCCAGAAACCAGAGACAGCAAUGCUGUACCCUGUGCAGAAGCCUGAAAGCAAGCCAUUCCAUCCAUCCCCUGCUUCCUGUCUGCAGCGCUGUACCUGGCACAGGAGUCACUUAGAAUAUGCAAACUAAGACGAUGGAACUUCUAGAAAUUUUCAAGGAGAAAAUAUAAGGUAACAGAAGCAUACAUCUGAACACCCAAGUUGACCUUCUGUGGAUGAGGAUUCCCUUAACUUUAAUUGAUAUCCCCGUUUAAACUCACCCAUGUAAGUCAGGUUAUUUGACUUGAAAUACUCUUUCAGAGUUGACUGUGUCAGUUAUUAGAGGUUGCCUGUCCUUUGGUCUGGGGUGGUGGAGAGUUGUGAGAAGCCAUUUGGUGACUAUCAACAUCACUAUGUUAUUCCUGUCUAUCCCUAUGUAUUGGAUUGGUUCCAUCUGGACCUUAACCAAAACUAAACAAAAUAUGUGCUUAAGCUCUUCAGUGUUCCUAAAAUCCCCUUUUUUUCUCAUGCUUUAUUUCAACCACUAAAUAAACAUUCCUUCUUUUAUGGGAGCUGCUCGUCAAUAUUAAAAGAAAAACAGGUGCCUGAAACAGUCAGAUCUACAGGAUGAUAGGCAUUAGUACAUACAUGAUAACACUUGCCUCCUAACAAAAAAUAAAAGAAGAGCAAGAUUGCACACAAACACAAGCCUAGGAUCAGACAAGUCAAGAGCCAGAGGUGAUGUCAGUCUUGUAACACUGAAAACAAAAUGUCAGGAAUCUGGUAAAAGAUAAUGGUGAUUCCUCUGUCUGCUCUGAAACUUACACUCUGCAAAAAAACUUAAAUAAAACCCUUUCGAGUUUAUUUCCUCUUCAAUACAGUACAUUCUUUGUCCAAGAGUAAAGUAGUAAAAUUGUAUUUGCUGACAUUUAGAAGCUUCUAUAUAAAACUUUGAUCCUUUGAAGUCAAUGAGAUUUUUGUCACCUGACUUAUGGAAUAUAAAAUGUAAAAAAAUAAAUCUGUUUCCUCAUAGUACAUGAAACUUACCAACAAUUUCCUUCAGUACAUUCCAAGUAUACUCAAGAAGUAACAAGUAAAUAGGAUUUGGAGUAGGCCCUGGGCCCUCAGGUUCUCCUGUUCCAUGCAGAAGCAGGAAAAUUUAUUCUGUGACACCAUCUCCAGUUUUCUUGAUGUGUUCCACAUGACAAAUUCUCUGAAUACAGACUGGAAGAUGAACAGUCACUGUUCUCCAGUCUGGACUUAUAAACUUUCAACAGAGAUACAGCGGACUUGUGAUACUUUCUGUGGUAUAUUUUUGAUGGUUGACAAGUCUUUUUCCUUGCAAUUCUGCAAAGCUGUUAAUAAGAUCUCUAUUCCAUUGGGAACUGGCAGUGUUCCAGCCUUUGUAGUUGUAGAAAAUCCAUAUACAAAAUAAUGCUUGGUAGUUCUGAGUUUUUUUACAGGUAUUACUCUUAAGCCUCUGUCUUGUGUGAACUUUGAACUAGCUCACUCAGGUUAGUUAAAGCAGCCUUUAUAGGUACAAAUGGUAUAGACAACAAUUGCAGUACUGUUUUUUCACAUUUUCAAAAAUAUGCUUCUUCCCUGGGGUAUGUAUUACAUCGAAAGCAUAUAACACUGUGAUGUCACGUAUAAAGAUGGUAUCUCCUACACUCCCAAGGGAUGACCUGUGUAACUAAUCAUAACCAUGCGAUUUGUAAGCAGCAGAAUCAUCCCCUGUUUACUUUAUGAAAAUCUUUAUGCUGUGCAGUGUUUAUGCAUGCCUGUGCUGAUCUCAGAUUGUCUUUGGGGAGUGCAUUACAUGCUAUGUUAUACUGUUUUUAUUAUAAGCAAUACAGGUAGUAAUGCCUACAGUUAAUGUUGCUUGACACUUUCUAGUAUAAGAUAUUUUUAUGUUGUUAUCUUCACUGAGUUUAAGCCAUUUGGACUACAAUUUUUCAGGUUGGAUACAUGCCUCUUGAUGAAUUCUUUAAAGGGAUAUUUUACCUAAAAAGAUUCUGCCUGGGGCUUUUGC